UGUAGUCAUAUGCUUGUCUCAAAGAUUAAGCCAUGCAUGUCUAAGUAUAAGCACUUUAUACUGUGAAACUGCGAAUGGCUCAUUAAAUCAGUUAUAGUUUAUUUGAUAAUACCUUACUACUUGGAUAACCGUGGUAAUUCUAGUGCUAAUACAUGCUUUAAACCCCGACUUCUGGAAGGGGUGUAUUUAUUAGAUAAAAAACCAAUCGUAGCAAUACGUUUUCUGGUGAAUCAUGAUAACUAUUCGAAUCGCAUGGCUUUGCCGGCGAUGGUUCAUUCAAAUUUCUGCCCUAUCAACUUUCGAUGGUAGUAUAGAGGACUACCAUGGUUACAACGGGUAACGGGGAAU
This 348-nucleotide ribosomal RNA is filed under the name uncultured fungus. RNAcentral describes it as "SSU rRNA". It matches the Rfam family "Eukaryotic small subunit ribosomal RNA", at positions 21 to 370 of the family's 1831-position model. The record is from RNAcentral. Lineage: Eukaryota; Fungi.